RNAcentral lists this ribosomal RNA (320 nucleotides) under uncultured bacterium. RNAcentral describes it as "bacterial SSU rRNA". It matches the Rfam family "Bacterial small subunit ribosomal RNA", at positions 482 to 793 of the family's 1533-position model. The record is from RNAcentral.
CAGAAGAAGCACCGGCUAACUCCGUGCCAGCAGCCGCGGUAAUACGGAGGGUGCGAGCGUUAAUCGGAAUUACUGGGCGUAAAGCGCAUGCAGGUGGUUCGUUAGUUACUAGAUGUGAAGACCGGGCGCUAACCUCGGAACUGCAUUUGAAACUGGCAGACUAGAGUACUGUAGAGGGGGGUAGGAAUUUCAGGUGUAGCGGUGAAAUGCGUAGAGAUCUGAAGGAAUACCGGUGGCGGAAGGACGGCCCCGUCCGGACGAGAAUACUGACACUCAGAUGCGAAAGCGUGGGGAGCAAACAGGAUUAGAUACCCUGGUAG